UACGUUCCCGGGUCUUGUACACACCGCCCGUCACACCACGAGAGUUUACAACACCCGAAGUCGGUGGGGUAACCGCAAGGAGCCGGCCGCCGAAGGUGGGGUAGAUGAUUGGGGUG
RNAcentral lists this ribosomal RNA (116 nucleotides) under uncultured bacterium. RNAcentral's name for it is "partial 16S ribosomal RNA". It matches the Rfam family "Bacterial small subunit ribosomal RNA", at positions 1367 to 1482 of the family's 1533-position model. The record is from RNAcentral.